CUGAGCCCCAGCUCCGUUCCCCAGCCACGGACAGCAGCUCUGCCCCCCUGCUAGAGGCCGCAGGAUCGGGCCCCGUGCCCCGAGCAGGGGAUGCGCGGCCACCUGCGAGGCGCUCAGCCUGCUCCAGCCCCGAGUGGGGAGCUCCCGGCCGCUCUCGGGCAUGUCCUUUAAAGGCCUUCUCGCUCCGAGCCGUUCCCUGGCAGCUCCUUCAGCUCCAGAUGCAGUCGCUCUCCCCUCCGAGGAGGCUCUGCCGCCGCCGGCUUGCACCGCCUGGGGCCCCGGACCCGCCGGCCGAGCCACCCCCCUCGGCCCCCUCCCGGGGACCCGACUGCACCGAGGGCUGGGUGCGAGCCGUCGGCUGCUCGGGACGGAUUUGGGCAGGUGUGCUGGUCCUGGAGCCUCCGCACUGUGCAAAUGAAGCCGCUCGUGGGGACCUCGCCGGGCGCGGGGGAAGAGGCGCAGGGACGUGCCCAGGGGCGUGCGGCGCGGCAGCGGCACAGGAGGGGCUGCCGGCAGAGCCCCCCGGCUCGCAGGGAGCAGCAGGCAGAGCCGGCCGGGCUCCCCGCGUCUCCGGAUGA
This 578-nucleotide long non-coding RNA is filed under the name Cairina moschata (Muscovy duck). RNAcentral describes it as "domestica (muscovy Duck (domestic type)) lncRNA (ENSCMMG00000010390.1)". The record is from RNAcentral. Lineage: Eukaryota; Metazoa; Chordata; Aves; Anseriformes; Anatidae.